AACCCGAUGCAAACUGCGAAUACCGGAGAAUGUUAUCACGGGAGACACACGGCGGGUGCUAACGUCCGUCGUGAAGAGGGAAACAACCCAGACCGCCAGCUAAGGUCCCAAAGUCAUGGUUAAGUGGGAAACGAUGUGGGAAGGCCCAGACAGCCAGGAUGUUGGCUUAGAAGCAGCCAUCAUUUAAAGAAAGCGUAAUAGCUCACUGGUCGAGUCGGCCUGCGCGGAAGAUGUAACGGGGCUAAACCAUGCACCGAAGCUGCGGCAGCGACGCUUAUGCGUUGUUGGGUAGGGGAGCGUUCUGUAAGCCUGUGAAGGUGUGCUGUGAGGCAUGCUGGAGGUAUCAGAAGUGCGAAUGCUGACAUAAGUAACGAUAAAGCGGGUGAAAAGCCCGCUCGCCGGAAGACCAAGGGUUCCUGUCCAACGUUAAUCGGGGCAGGGUGAGUCGACCCCUAAGGCGAGGCCGAAAGGCGUAGUCGAUGGGAAACAGGUUAAUAUUCCUGUACUUGGUGUUACUGCGAAGGGGGGACGGAGAAGGCUAUGUUGGCCGGGCGACGGUUGUCCCGGUUUAAGCGUGUAGGCUGGUUUUCCAGGCAAAUCCGGAAAAUCAAGGCUGAGGCGUGAUGACGAGGCACUACGGUGCUGAAGCAACAAAUGCCCUGCUUCCAGGAAAAGCCUCUAAGCAUCAGGUAACAUCAAAUCGUACCCCAAACCGACACAGGUGGUCAGGUAGAGAAUACCAAGGCGCUUGAGAGAACUCGGGUGAAGGAACUAGGCAAAAUGGUGCCGUAACUUCGGGAGAAGG
Molecule: ribosomal RNA, 805 nt
Filed under: Escherichia coli
Lineage: Bacteria; Pseudomonadati; Pseudomonadota; Gammaproteobacteria; Enterobacterales; Enterobacteriaceae
Description: partial 23S ribosomal RNA
Rfam family: Bacterial large subunit ribosomal RNA
Source: RNAcentral